GCUCGCUUCCACAAUGCAUAUACUAAAAUUGGAAUGAUACAGAGAAGAUUAGCAUGGCCCCUGCCCAAGGAUAACAUGCAGAUUUGUGAAGUGUUCCAUAUUAAA
Molecule: small nuclear RNA, 105 nt
Organism: Suncus etruscus (white-toothed pygmy shrew)
Lineage: Eukaryota; Metazoa; Chordata; Mammalia; Eulipotyphla; Soricidae
Source: RefSeq, a predicted model, not a curated record